Molecule: ribosomal RNA, 482 nt
Filed under: uncultured bacterium
Lineage: Bacteria
Description: bacterial SSU rRNA
Rfam family: Bacterial small subunit ribosomal RNA
Source: RNAcentral
UUGAACGCUGGCGGAAUGCUUUACACAUGCAAGUCGGGCAGCAGCGCGGGGGCAACCCUGGCGGCGAGCGGCGAACGGGUGAGUAACAUAUCGGAACGUACCCAGACGUGGGGGACAACUAGUCGAAAGACUAGCUAAUACCGCAUACGUCCUGAGGGAGAAAGCGGGGGAUCGCAAGACCUCGCGCGUUUGGAGCGGCCGAUAUCUGAUUAGCUAGAUGGUGGGGUAAAGGCCCACCAUGGCGACGAUCAGUAGCUGGUCUGAGAGGAUGAUCAGCCACACUGGAACUGAGACACGGUCCAGACUCCUACGGGAGGCAGCAGUGGGGAAUUUUGGACAAUGGGGGAAACCCUGAUCCAGCCAUUCCGCGUGAGUGAAGAAGGCCUUCGGGUUGUAAACUGCUUUUGUACGGAACGAAACGGCUCUCUCUAAUACGGGGGGCUAAUGACGGUACCGUAAGAAUAAGCACCGGCUAACUACGU